This 468-nucleotide ribosomal RNA is filed under the name uncultured bacterium. Its description in RNAcentral is "partial 16S ribosomal RNA". It matches the Rfam family "Bacterial small subunit ribosomal RNA", at positions 28 to 507 of the family's 1533-position model. The record is from RNAcentral.
GACGAACGCUGGCGGCGUGCUUAACACAUGCAAGUCGAACGGAAAGGCCCUGCUUUUGUGGGGUGCUCGAGUGGCGAACGGGGGAGUAACACGUGAGUAACCUGCCCUUGACUUUGGGAUAACUUCAGGAAACUGGGGCUAAUACCGGAUAGGAGCUCCUGCUGCAUGGUGGGGGUUGGAAAGUUUCGGCGGUGGUGGAUGGACUCGCGGCUUAUCAGCUUGUUUGUGGGGUAGUGGCUUACCAAGGCUUUGACGGGUAGCCGGCCUGGGAGGUUGGCCGGCCACAUUGGGCCUGCGAUAGGGAGCAGAAUCCUACGGGCGGCAGCAGGCGGGAGUAUUGCACAGUGGGCGGACGCCUGAUGCAGCAACGCCGCGUGCGGGAUGACGGCCUUCGGGUUGUAAACCGCUUUCGCCUGUGCCGAAGCGUGAGUGACGGUAAUGGGUAAAGAAGCCCCGGCUAACUACGUG